RNAcentral lists this long non-coding RNA (927 nucleotides) under Homo sapiens (human). RNAcentral's name for it is "long non-coding RNA NONHSAT094638.2". Lineage: Eukaryota; Metazoa; Chordata; Mammalia; Primates; Hominidae. The record is from RNAcentral.
UUUUUUAUUGUCUCUUUUUACAAUUUUGCAAUAUCAUCUUCCACAGAGGAAAGAGGAAGACGAAAGGUAAUCCUCAGGCCCACUAGCAUGGCUGGUUUUUAAAAGUGUGCUUUGCUUUACAGAAAUGUACUGAUGACUGGUUACAUCAUCCACAUGGUAAAGCCUGUUGUGAAAUUUGGAGGACGCUUGCUCAGGCUUCUCUCCUCUGCAGGCUGGCCAGGUUGAGGGGCUGCCUUUUUUCCCCAGGUGCUGAUCCAAGCCUCCCUCUGGAAUAAGCUGUAUCCACCGGCUUCUCGUGAGGCUGGUGUGAGGGUCCCGCAUUCUCGAUGUCGUUGAUGUCGGCAUUUCCUGUUAAAUCAGCAAGAUCUUUCCUCCUCUUCCAGAAGUUCCUGCGAGUCACUCCUCUGUGUUAAUUGCCAUGGGUGUUGCUGGAAGCUGUUUCUACCCCAGGACGUCUGGAAGGAAGUGGCCGGGAAGGGCAUGGUGGAGGCCGCUGACCCGCUGACGUCUCCACAGCCAAACGUCCCCCUGCCGGGCCCCAAAGUGCCCACUGCCUCUCCAGUGCCAGCCCAGCAAGAGAGGAAGCGGAGGCGGGGAAAAAAUAACGGGUGCCUCACGGCGGGUUUUCACAAUCUCGAGGCUGCCAUCACCCCUUAGGCCGCACACCCUGAGACCCAGCAGGGUCUCAACCAGCGACUCCCCAGUCAGCAACCGGCCAGCGUGCGUCACGUCACGCAGACACGGCCUCUGCUCCACUCAGGGCCCGUUUCAGCCACCUGGAAGCCGCAGUUCACCGCCACCUCCAAGGACACAGCCCACCUUUUCCAGGCUGCGCCGGGACCUCCACUGACCAGGCCUUCUUCAGAGGCGCGGGCCCACGUGCAUGGAGAGCACCCUCCUACUGACACGCAGUCCAGUAUCUUUUCG